Molecule: ribosomal RNA, 253 nt
Filed under: uncultured bacterium
Lineage: Bacteria
Description: partial 16S ribosomal RNA
Rfam family: Bacterial small subunit ribosomal RNA
Source: RNAcentral
UACAGAGGUCUCAAGCGUUGUUCGGAUUCAUUGGGCGUAAAGGGUGCGUAGGUGGCGGGGUAAGUCAGGUGUGAAAUCUCGGGGCUCAACCCCGAAACUGCACUUGAUACUGCCUUGCUCGAGUACUGGAGAGGAGAUUGGAAUUUACGGUGUAGCAGUGAAAUGCGUAGAUAUCGUAAGGAAGACCAGUGGCGAAGGCGAAUCUCUGGACAGUUCCUGACACUGAGGCACGAAGGCCAGGGGAGCAAACGGG